UGGGGAAUUUUGGACAAUGGGCGAAAGCCUGAUCCAGCAAUGCCGCGUGUGUGAAGAAGGCCUUCGGGUUGUAAAGCACUUUUGUCCGGAAAGAAAUCCUUGGCUCUAAUACAGUCGGGGGAUGACGGUACCGGAAGAAUAAGCACCGGCUAACUACGUGCCAGCAGCCGCGGUAAUACGUAGGGUGCAAGCGUUAAUCGGAAUUACUGGGCGUAAAGCGUGCGCAGGCGGUUUGCUAAGACCGAUGUGAAAUCCCCGGGCUCAACCUGGGAACUGCAUUGGUGACUGGCAGGCUAGAGUAUGGCAGAGGGGGGUAGAAUUCCACGUGUAGCAGUGAAAUGCGUAGAGAUGUGGAGGAAUACCGAUGGCGAAGGCAGCCCCCUGGGCCAAUACUGACGCUCAUGCACGAAAGCGUGGGGAGCAAACAGGAUUAGAUACCCUGGUAGUCCACGCCCUAAACGAUGUCAACUAGUUGUUGGGGAUUCAUUUCCUAGUAACGUAGCUAACGCGUGAAGUUGACCGCCUGGGGAGUACGGUCGCAAGAUUAAAACUUAAAUGAAUUGACGGGGUCAUAGCUGUUUUCU
This 584-nucleotide ribosomal RNA is filed under the name uncultured bacterium. Its description in RNAcentral is "partial 16S ribosomal RNA". It matches the Rfam family "Bacterial small subunit ribosomal RNA", at positions 355 to 938 of the family's 1533-position model. The record is from RNAcentral.